AAAGAGAAGAAAGGUCACCUUAUAUAAGCCUCCAACUGAAAUUACCAAAUUACUCUUCAAAAACUACAUUCUGCAGCACUGCAUACUGGUACUCCGGUUGGCGUACUGGUACUCGGGCAUCCAGUUUCUGUACCAAGUUUCCAGUACCUCAAAACCCAAACAUUGGAUUCUCAAUUUUUCUACUGCGUACCGAUACUCAGUUUCCAGUACCGGUACUCAAUACAAACUCAGUAUUGGUACUCAGAUUUGAUUCAUCAAAAUUUGUGAGCUCAUUUUCCUCAUUUUGUAUUGCGUACGGGUACCCAGUUUUCAGUACCGGUACUCAAUACAAAUUCUGUCACUCUGACAGAUUUUACCUUUCGGAGUUCGUUUUCGCACCCGGUU
RNAcentral lists this long non-coding RNA (384 nucleotides) under Ananas comosus (pineapple). RNAcentral describes it as "long non-coding RNA (ACOM_LNC024234)". Lineage: Eukaryota; Viridiplantae; Streptophyta; Magnoliopsida; Poales; Bromeliaceae. The record is from RNAcentral.